CUUAGAAUUGAGCAUCUCACAGCUUCACUUGUCCACAAAGAAGGAACUCACUUCUACACAAAUAGGAACAAGAACAGACCUCUAAUCUCAAACAUUCAAGAUGAACUCCAAAGUUAUCCUCGUUUUUGCUCUCUUAAUCUUCGCUGUUUCUUUUGUGCCAGAAAGUGAGGCUUUCACGGCUGGAGGCGGCGGUAACAUUCCAAGAAAGCGAGAGUAUGAACACCAACUCGCCGGGAGGGCUCUCUGUGCGGCAGCCAGGAGUCACUGCAAACGGGAAUUUCUUGACGACAGUGAAUGAACCAAUCCCAUCACAUGGAACUGAUCUGAUUCCUUACAAGCAGCGACAAAAUUCUCUAGCUCUGGAGUCGGCCUGUCAUUCGUUAUUGAAAAAUCGUUAAGUAAUGUAACAAAUGCUAUUGUAAAUGAUCGAGAAAAUGUUUAAUCGCAAUUGUGAAAUAAUACAGGCACCGACGAGGCCAGAAUAAACCUAUUUUUGAGCGCA
Orbicella faveolata is the source of this 502-nucleotide long non-coding RNA. RefSeq lists it as uncharacterized. The record is from RefSeq and is a predicted model, not a curated record. Lineage: Eukaryota; Metazoa; Cnidaria; Anthozoa; Scleractinia; Merulinidae.